AAGUCAAUCACCGGCCAGGUGUGAGAAGAGUGCCGUCGGGAUCUGGACGAUCCAAAACUCCCACUGCAGAGAUCGAGAGAUGUGCUUACAGAGCUCCUGUUUCACCUGUGCAUAAGGUGCCGGGUGACGAUGCGAGCUACAGCGCAGAGAACCUGAGGCGACUUGCCCGCAGUCUGAGUGGGACGGUCAUUGGCACUCGUUCACAAAACCCGGGCUCAUCUCACACCUCAGUAAGUCACACGAACACACGUGAUUUUUCAAACCUAGUCACAUUUUUGAUUCAUACAAAGCCUUCGAUCCAUCUUAACUGGUCACUAGUACUCACAAAUUUAACAUUACACUGCCACCUUGUGUUUAGUGCCCAAACUGCAGCAUUCCAUGUCAUAUAUUUGCCCUUCACAACUUGGUAUAAACGGUGUAGUAGGUUUUGUUUCCUUUCUGCUCAGCAUAUAUCGACACUCUAAG
This 465-nucleotide long non-coding RNA is filed under the name Neogobius melanostomus (round goby). Its description in RNAcentral is "lncRNA (ENSNMLG00000000591.1)". Lineage: Eukaryota; Metazoa; Chordata; Actinopteri; Gobiiformes; Gobiidae. The record is from RNAcentral.